GUGUCCUAGGAAAGGAGAUGGAGACAGCCCUCCCCUUAACAGGGAUUGGAAGAGGGUCUUUUAGGCCAUUCAGCACAUACACAUUUAAGGCAUUGCUGCCUGCUCAUGUUUUCUGUUUUCACAAGUAAAGGUGCUUAUUUAU
Molecule: non-coding RNA, 142 nt
Filed under: Cebus imitator (Panamanian white-faced capuchin)
Lineage: Eukaryota; Metazoa; Chordata; Mammalia; Primates; Cebidae
Source: RNAcentral